Molecule: ribosomal RNA, 227 nt
Filed under: uncultured bacterium
Lineage: Bacteria
Description: partial 16S ribosomal RNA
Rfam family: Bacterial small subunit ribosomal RNA
Source: RNAcentral
CCGUAGUGGCGCACGGGUGCGUAACGCGUGGGAAUCUGCCCUUAGGUACGGAAUAACUCAGAGAAAUUUGUGCUAAUACCGUAUGAUGUCGAAAGACCAAAGAUUUAUCGCCUAAGGAUGAGCCCGCGUAAGAUUAGCUUGUUGGUGAGGUAAAAGCUCACCAAGGCGACGAUCUUUAGCUGGUCUGAGAGGAUGAUCAGCCACACUGGGACUGAGACACGGCCCAG